This 888-nucleotide ribosomal RNA is filed under the name Cryolaternula elliptica. RNAcentral describes it as "eukaryotic LSU rRNA". It matches the Rfam family "Eukaryotic large subunit ribosomal RNA", at positions 93 to 719 of the family's 3401-position model. The record is from RNAcentral. Lineage: Eukaryota; Metazoa; Mollusca; Bivalvia; Laternulidae.
GGGAUAGAUCGGCCCAGCACCGAAUCCCCGAGGCGAGAGCUUCGCGGGAACUGUGGUGUAUAGGAAGGCGAUUUGUCGGCCGUGUCUCCCGGCGCCCAGGUCCUCCUGAUCGUGGCCUCUCAUUCCCAUGGCGGGUGUUAGGCCCAUACUGGCGCUCUAGGAGCCGGCGGCAUUCGAACUUCCUCGGAGUCGGGUUGUUUGGGAAUGCAGCCCGAAGCGGGUGGUAAACUCCAUCUAAGGCUGAAUAUGAACACGAGUCCGAUAGCGAACAAGUACCGUGAGGGAAAGUUGAAAAGAACUCUGAAGAGAGAGUUCAAGAGUGCGUGAAACCGCCCAGAGUCAAACGGGUGGACCCGCAGAAUCAGUUCGGCGCGGGGAAUUCAGCCGGCCUUUGCUCGAGAGCCUGCUCGCGGCGGAUCUGCCCUUCGUGGACGGACCGCCCGGGCGCGAUCUCGGCUCACACUGCAUGGCCGGUGGACUUUCUCCGCGUCGAGUGCCACGACCGGUUCCCGCACAAAGUCAGCGCCAGACGGCCGAGAGGCAGGGUGGCUACCCCCCGGAGCGCCGCUUCGGCGGCGUUUCGGACGGGAAGCGUUACAGGCCUUUUCUCGGACCCGGGCCGCUGCAUCAGGGGACCGAGGAAGCAACCGUGCCGCGCGGUGUCUUGCGGCGGGCUAUCGGCGGACGAUCGACUGCGGCUGGCACUGUCUCUCUCGGGAGACAGUCAUGUCGCGACAGCGCUCCGUCGAAGGGCUCGCCUGCUUGCCCGUUGCGCGCAAGGUCAGUGGCGACUCGGUCGGUCCUCCACCCGACCCGUCUUGAGACACGGACCAAGGAGUCUAACAUGUGCGCGAGUCAGAGGGUCUCGUACAAAACCCCGUGGCACAA